This 460-nucleotide ribosomal RNA is filed under the name uncultured bacterium. Its description in RNAcentral is "partial 16S ribosomal RNA". It matches the Rfam family "Bacterial small subunit ribosomal RNA", at positions 338 to 795 of the family's 1533-position model. The record is from RNAcentral.
CCUACGGGGAGCAGCAGUGAGGAAUAUUGGUCAAUGGACGAGAGUCUGAACCAGCCAAGUAGCGUGAAGGAUGACUGCCCUAUGGGUUGUAAACUUCUUUUAUAUGGGAAUAAAACGUUCCACGUGUGGGAUUUUGUAUGUACCAUAUGAAUAAGGAUCGGCUAACUCCGUGCCAGCCGCCGCGGUAAUACGGAGGAUCCGAGCGUUAUCCGGAUUUAUUGGGUUUAACGGGAGCGUAGGUGGAUUGUUAAGUCAGUUGUGAACGUUUGCGGCUCAACCGUAAAAUUGCAGUUGAAACUGGCAGUCUUGAGUACAGUAGAGGUGGGCGGAAUGCGGGGUGUAGCGGUGAAAUGCUUAGAUAUCACGAAGAACUCCGAUUGCGAAGGCAGUUCACUGGACUGCAACUGACACUGAGGCUCGAAAGUGUGGGUAUCAAACAGGAUUAGAUACCCUAGUAGUC